RNAcentral lists this transfer RNA (79 nucleotides) under Caldococcus noboribetus. RNAcentral's name for it is "tRNA-Gly". It matches the Rfam family "tRNA". Rfam says of the family: Transfer RNA (tRNA) molecules are approximately 80 nucleotides in length. RNAcentral also lists the same sequence under 3 other names. Lineage: Archaea; Thermoproteati; Thermoproteota; Thermoprotei; Desulfurococcales. The record is from RNAcentral.
GCGGCGGUCGUCUAGCCUGGAUUAGGACGUCGGCCCCCCAAGCCGAAGGUCCCGGGUUCAAAUCCCGGCCGCCGCACCA